AUGUAGCUCAGUGAUAGAGUGCUUGCCUAGCAUGCAUGAGUUCCUGAGUUCAAGCCUCAGCAU
This 63-nucleotide transfer RNA is filed under the name Neotoma lepida (desert woodrat). It matches the Rfam family "tRNA", at positions 5 to 66 of the family's 71-position model. From Rfam's summary of the family: Transfer RNA (tRNA) molecules are approximately 80 nucleotides in length. Their secondary structure includes four short double-helical elements and three loops (D, anti-codon, and T loops). Further hydrogen bonds mediate the characteristic L-shaped molecular structure. tRNAs have two regions of fundamental functional importance: the anti-codon, which is responsible for specific mRNA codon recognition, and the 3' end, to which the tRNAs corresponding amino acid is attached (by aminoacyl-tRNA synthetases). tRNAs cope with the degeneracy of the genetic code in two manners: having more than one tRNA (with a specific anti-codon) for a particular amino acid; and 'wobble' base-pairing, i.e. permitting non-standard base-pairing at the 3rd anti-codon position. Lineage: Eukaryota; Metazoa; Chordata; Mammalia; Rodentia; Cricetidae. The record is from Rfam by way of RNAcentral.